Long non-coding RNA from Mytilus californianus (California mussel), 1970 nucleotides. RefSeq lists it as uncharacterized. The record is from RefSeq and is a predicted model, not a curated record. NCBI's taxonomy places the organism in Eukaryota, Metazoa, Mollusca, Bivalvia, Mytilida, Mytilidae. The transcript is spliced from 4 exons.
GGAAAACCAACGGUCUAAUCUAUACAAAAGACGAGAAACGAGAAACAUUUAUGAAACACAUCAACAAACGACAACCACUGAACAUCAGGUUUCUGACUUAGGACAGGUGCAAACAAAUGCAGCGGGUUUAAACGUUUUAAUAGGCGCCAACCUUUACCUUACCAGCAACAAUAGUGUAACAUCACAACACAGAAAGACACACUAUAAAUUAUCAAUUGAAAUGGCUUAACUCAAUCAAAAGACAAAUUAACAAAAACAAAUGAACAUACACUGAACAAAUAAAUUUUAUCUAUGACACAAUGUAAAUACAAAAUUAAUAAAACUAGGGGGUUAGAUGUAAAACAAUAUCAGAAAGACAACCAUAACCUUGGACAAAAUGCCGCCAAAGAAAAUAACGUUCACAGGUAAAUAAAAAUAAUUUUGUUGUAAGGUAUACAUGGAGUACGGAAAUAAUUUUUACAAAAUAAAUAAUUUUGUUGUUCCUAGUGCGAGAACAAAAGUGAAAACUUAUCGUCAUAUUAAACACUUAUCAAAGGUGGUAUAUAUUAAAAAUAGUGAGACUAGAUAUAACACUGAAUACGUAAACAUUAAAUAACACAAAUACAUUACAAAUUGUAUCAACAGGUCAAAUUAACACGAAAGUACGAUUUGAGUGUACUCGCAGUUACUAAAAGUACAAACUAAAACCGAGGGAAACACAUCAACUAUAAUAGAAAAAACAAAGGAACAACAGGAACACUGAUUUGCAACAAAAGCAAACGCCAACAUACAAAGAAACGAAUUAUUUGAUAACAACUGCCAUAUUCCUGACUUGGUACAGGACAUCUUUAACCUUUUCUUAACAGGAUCUCACAUCAACAUUUUUUUUACGUAAGUAGUGUUUCCUGAAUAUUCUCCGUAUUUAGUCAUAAUUGCAAGACACACACAUAAUGUAAAAAACGCCCUCUAGUGAUAUUUCAAAUAUUAUAAGCGUUCCUACGUUAUGCCUGUAUCACAAUAAUUAUGAGUGGGUAAAUUUGAAAAAAAUAAUUUAUCAUGUAAUGAAUGUUACACUAAGAUAGUGAUAUUGAUCAUAAUUUAAAUAUAUUACACACUCGUUAACCUUAAGGUAUCAGUUUGAACUAUCGAACUGUCUAAAUUAAAUAGUAUAUAUUCACUUAAUCUUUGACAUAGAUGUAUUUACCUAGGAGCUGACUUUCGUCUAAGAUGGAAAUCCUGAAAAAUCCGAGCAUACAUAUGUGUCUACUGUUUUUGCUGAUAAUAGGUUCUUCAAGAUGAUAUCCAAGAGAUUAUGGUGAUGAGGAGAAUAAAAAGCAGUUAGAGACUAGAUAUGCUGAUGCAACGUCCGUACCUGAAGCCGAACACAAUUCAAUCCUCACAAGACCCGGGCAGUGAAUGUCCAAAAUAUCAUUCCUUAUAUCCAAGUUAGAAUUGCUUACAAAUUUAAAGGACAACAUGUACCAAUCGAUGUUGAAAAUGACCACUUCGUACUCACCACCAACACAAGUGAAUUCACAUUCAAGAGAUGACGAUAAUGUGCCUACGCACACCAAUGACCUUAAUCAAAAUAACCCUUCCACAUCAACUGCAGUGUAAUUAUACAUUGAGCUGUGUACCAAUGGAGGAACACAUACAUUUUUGUAUUUACAAAACAAUCUGUUCAUUCCUGAACAAAUAACAUUUGUGUAUUUGAUAAAGAUAUUUAAAAGUUACUAGAACACACCCGCGAAAUCGCGGGCAUUAGAGCGUAAUUGAAAGUAUGUAAACUGUUGUAGGAUGAAUUUUUGUAAAAGAUUUAUGACUGGAGAAUUUCAGGAAAGGUAUCAAAAGUCAUCGGUACUUGGGGAUAGGACAAUUUUUUUUAGCCCUCCCCCUUUUUUCCAAAGUCCGUUAAUUUUUGUUUUCUGUUUUUCUGUAUACUAUGCACAUACAUAUACUUUAAAUAAAGUGUAUUUGCUAUUUACUAUCAA